UACGAAGGGACCAAGCGUUGUUCGGAUUUACUGGGCGUAAAGGGCUCGUAGGCGGCUUAACAAGUCACUUGUGAAAUCUCCGGGCUUAACUCGGAACGGCCAAGUGAAACUGUCAAGCUAGAGUGCAGAAGGGGCAAUCGGAAUUCUUGGUGUAGCGGUGAAAUGCGUAGAUAUCAAGAGGAACACCUGAGGUGAAGACGGGUUGCUGGGCUGACACUGACGCUGAGGCGCGAAAGCCAGGGGAGCAAACGGG
RNAcentral lists this ribosomal RNA (253 nucleotides) under uncultured bacterium. RNAcentral's name for it is "partial 16S ribosomal RNA". It matches the Rfam family "Bacterial small subunit ribosomal RNA", at positions 524 to 776 of the family's 1533-position model. The record is from RNAcentral.